GACGAACGCUGGCGGCGUGCUUAACACAUGCAAGUCGAACGGAAAGGCCCUGCUUUUGUGGGGUGCUCGAGUGGCGAACGUGUGAGUAACACGUGAGUAACCUGCCCUUGACUUUGGGAUAACUUCAGGAAACUGGGGCUAAUACCGGAUAGGAGCUCCUGCUGCAUGGUGGGGGUUGGAAAGUUUCGGCGGUUGGGGAUGGACUCGCGGCUUAUCAGCUUGUUGGUGGGGUAGUGGCUUACCAAGGCUUUGACGGGUAGCCGGCCUGAGAGGGUGACCGGCCACAUUGGGACUGAGAGACGGCCCAGACUCCUACGGGAGGCAGCAGUGGGGAAUAUUGCACAAUGGGCGGAAGCGUGAUGAAGAAACGCCGCGUGCGGGAUGACGGCCUUCGGGUUGUAAACCGCUUUCGCCUGUGACGAAGCGUGAGUGACGGUAAUGGGUAAAGAAGCACCGGCUAACUACGUG
This 468-nucleotide ribosomal RNA is filed under the name uncultured bacterium. RNAcentral describes it as "partial 16S ribosomal RNA". It matches the Rfam family "Bacterial small subunit ribosomal RNA", at positions 28 to 507 of the family's 1533-position model. The record is from RNAcentral.